UAAUAAUUAAUGAUGUUAUUAAUAUAUAUAUUUAAUGUUAUUCUUUAAUUCUAUAUAUUAUAAAAAUAUAGAAAAAUUUUAUUUUAGAUAAAAUAUGAAUUUAUUUUUAAAUAAUUUAAUUAUUAAAUUAGAUGCACCUGAAGCUUGAGGGAUUUAUUUCCAAGAUAGUGCUACACCUCAAAUGGAAGGAUUAGUAGAAUUACACGAUAAUAUAAUGUAUUACUUAGUAAUAAUAUUAUUUG
Sporothrix brasiliensis 5110 is the source of this 242-nucleotide non-coding RNA. The record is from the annotation of a RefSeq genome assembly. Lineage: Eukaryota; Fungi; Ascomycota; Sordariomycetes; Ophiostomatales; Ophiostomataceae.